RNAcentral lists this ribosomal RNA (427 nucleotides) under uncultured bacterium. RNAcentral's name for it is "partial 16S ribosomal RNA". It matches the Rfam family "Bacterial small subunit ribosomal RNA", at positions 355 to 774 of the family's 1533-position model. The record is from RNAcentral.
UGGGGAAUAUCGGACAAUGGGCGAAAGCCUGAUCCAGCCAUGCCGCGUGUGUGAAGAAGGUCUUCGGAUUGUAAAGCACUUUAAGUUGGGAGGAAGGGCAUUAACCUAAUACGUUAGUGUUUUGACGUUACCGACAGAAUAAGCACCGGCUAACUCUGUGCCAGCAGCCGCGGUAAUACAGAGGGUGCAAGCGUUAAUCGGAAUUACUGGGCGUAAAGCGCGCGUAGGUGGUAUGUUAAGUUGGAUGUGAAAUCCCCGGGCUCAACCUGGGAACUGCAUUCAAAACUGACUGACUAGAGUAUGGUAGAGGGUGGUGGAAUUUCCUGUGUAGCGGUGAAAUGCGUAGAUAUAGGAAGGAACACCAGUGGCGAAGGCGACCACCUGGACUAAUACUGACACUGAGGUGCGAAAGCGUGGGGAGAAAACA